AAGAGUUUGAUCCUGGCUCAGGAUUAACGCUGGCGGCGCGCCUAAUACAUGCAAGUCGAACGGAAACCUUCGGGUUUUAGUGGCGAACGGGUGAGUAACACGUAAGCAACCUGCCUUUAAGACGUGGAUAACAAUUGGAAACAGUUGCUAAGACAGGAUAGGAAAUUAAGAGGCAUCUUUUAAUUUUUAAAAGACCUUUUUCGAAAGGUAUACUUAAAGAGGGGCUUGCGCCACAUUAGUUAGUUGGUAAGGUAAAGGCUUACCAAGACGAUGAUGUGUAGCUGGACUGAGAGGUCGAACAGCCACAUUGGGACUGAGACACGGCCCAAACUCCUACGGGAGGCAGCAGUAAGGAAUUUUUGGCAAUGGAGGAAACUCUGACCGAGCGACGUCGCGUGAACAAUGAAGUACUUCGGUAUGUAAAGUUCUUUUAUUGAAAAAGAAAAAAUAGUGGAAAAACUAUCUUGACAUUAUUCAAUGAAUAAGCCCCGGCUAAUUAUGUGCCAGCAGCCGCGGUAAUACAUAAGGGGCGAGCGUUAUCCGGAAUUAUUGGGCGUAAAGGGUGCGUAGGCGGUUUGAUAAGUCUAUAGUUUAAAUGCAGUGCUUAACGCUGUAGCGCUAUAGAAACUGUCUGACUAGAGUUAGAUAGAGGCAAGCGGAAUUCCAUGUGUAGCGGUAAAAUGCGUAAAUAUAUGGAGGAACACCAGAGGCGUAGGCGGCUUGCUGGGUCUUAACUGACGCUGAGGCACGAAAGCGUGGGGAGCAAACAGGAUUAGAUACCCUGGUAGUCCACGCCGUAAACGAUGAGUACUAAGUGUCGGGUUUCGGCUCGGUACUGAAGUUAACACAUUAAGUACUCCGCCUGAGUAGUACGUACGCAAGUAUGAAACUUAAAGGAAUUGACGGGACCCCGCACAAGCGGUGGAUCAUGUUGUUUAAUUCGAAGAUACACGAAAAACCUUACCAGGUCUUGACAUAAUUUUGCGACAUUAUAGAAAUAUAAUGAAGGUUAUCAGAAUUACAGGUGGUGCAUGGUUGUCGUCAGCUCGUGUCGUGAGAUGUUAGGUUAAGUCCUAAAACGAGCGCAACCCUUGUCGUUAGUUGCGACCACGUAAUGGUGAGCACUUUAGCGAGACUGCCAAUGAAAAAUUGGAGGAAGGUGAGGAUUACGUCAAAUCAUCAUGCCCCUUAUGAUCUGGGCUACAAACGUGAUACAAUGGCUGUUACAAAGAGUAGCUACAACGUGAGUUUUUAGCCAAUCUCAAAAAAACAGUCUCAGUUCGGAUUGAAGUCUGCAACUCGACUUCAUGAAGUUGGAAUCGCUAGUAAUCGCGAAUCAGCAUGUCGCGGUGAAUACGUUCUCGGGGUUUGUACACACCGCCCGUCAAACCACGAAAGUUGAUAAUACCCGAAAGCGGUCGCCUAACUUCGUCAGAAGAGGGAGCCGUCUAAGGUAGGAUCGAUGAUUGGGGUUAAGUCGUAACAAGGUAUCCCUACCGGAAGGUGGGGAUGGAUCACCUCCUUUCUAAGGAAACAUAGAAUCAUCAUCUUCAGUUUUGAAAGACUUAGUUAGGUUUUUCUAAUUUGAAAAACUUAGUUAAGUUUUUCUCAUUUCUUUUAUUUUUUGGUAUCCUGGGCCUAUAGCUCAGUUGGUUAGAGCACACGCCUGAUAAGCGUGAGGUCGGUGGUUCAAGUCCAUUUAGGCCCACCAAACGUUUUGCUAAAAAAAACGUGUUAUCAAAAAAAAGUUCUUUGAAAAGUAGAUAAACAAGAAAACAAUAGCCAUUUUUAAAGGAAGUAAGGGCGUACAGUGGAUGCCUUGGCACUAAGAGCCGAUGAAGGACG
This 1845-nucleotide ribosomal RNA is filed under the name 'Brassica rapa' phyllody phytoplasma. RNAcentral's name for it is "bacterial SSU rRNA". The stretch from base 1 to 1525 matches the Rfam family "Bacterial small subunit ribosomal RNA". Lineage: Bacteria; Bacillati; Mycoplasmatota; Mollicutes; Acholeplasmatales; Acholeplasmataceae. The record is from RNAcentral. RNAcentral also lists the same sequence under 1 other name.